AACCCGCAGGGGGAGGCAAAUCCCAAAAAAUAGCGUCCCAGUUCGGAUUGUAGUCCGCAACCCGGCUACAUGAAGCUGGAAUCGCUAGUAAUCGCAGAUCAGAAUGCUGCGGUGAAUACGUUCCCGGGUCUUGUACACACCGCCCGUCACACCAUGGGAGUCGGAAAUGCCCGAAGUCGGUGACCCAACCGUUUACGGAGGGAGCUGCCGAAGGCAGGUCUGGUGACUGGGGUGAAGUCGUAACAAGGUAAC
This 252-nucleotide ribosomal RNA is filed under the name uncultured bacterium. Its description in RNAcentral is "partial 16S ribosomal RNA". It matches the Rfam family "Bacterial small subunit ribosomal RNA", at positions 1252 to 1500 of the family's 1533-position model. The record is from RNAcentral.